GUGGGAAAGGUGAAAAGAACCGUGAACAACGGAGUGAAAUAGAUCCUGAAACCAUACGCUUACAAGCGGUCGGAGCCCUUCGGGGUGACGGCGUGCCUUUUGCAUAAUGAGCCUACGAGUUACUUUUACUGGCAAGGUUAAGUCCUUUAGGGACGGAGCCGUAGCGAAAGCGAGUCUUAAUAGGGCGCUUUAGUCAGUAGUAGUAGACGCGAAACCGUGCGAUCUACCCAUGGGCAGGUUGAAGCUGUGGUAACACAUAGUGGAGGACCGAACCCGUUGACGUUGAAAAGUCUUGGGAUGACCUGUGGGUAGGGGUGAAAGGCCAAUCAAGCUCGGAAAUAGCUCGUACUCCCCGAAAUGCAUUUAGG
RNAcentral lists this ribosomal RNA (368 nucleotides) under Florenciella parvula. RNAcentral describes it as "partial Bacterial large subunit ribosomal RNA". It matches the Rfam family "Bacterial large subunit ribosomal RNA", at positions 505 to 874 of the family's 2925-position model. The record is from RNAcentral. Lineage: Eukaryota; Dictyochophyceae; Florenciellales.